Long non-coding RNA from Podarcis raffonei (Aeolian wall lizard), 651 nucleotides. RefSeq lists it as uncharacterized. NCBI's taxonomy places the organism in Eukaryota, Metazoa, Chordata, Lepidosauria, Squamata, Lacertidae. The transcript is spliced from 2 exons. The record is from RefSeq and is a predicted model, not a curated record.
CUCCAAAAAAGGUGACUUGUAUAUCUCAUACAGUAGGCUAUUGAGUGGUCCAUGGCCACUGAUGCUACACUGAUCUGGAUCAGCUGGUUUACCAGCAGGAAUGAUGGUUAUGAAAAUGGUUUCCCUAAAUAAGUGAAGGAAGUCACAUCUAUUGUUUCCGCUAAAAGGUGAAGGAGGUUUUGAGGAUACAGUGAUGCAGACUGGAAGACACUCUUACCUGAAGUUCCCUUCCACACACACAGUAGAAGAGCAUCAAGUAUGGAGUGAAGACUAGAUAGAAAAUGCCAGGGGUGAGACCAUUUUCCCAUUGCGAGUGACAAUGGAUUGGCUGGGGACAGACAGAAAGCAAGUCCUGGCUCUGAUAUUUUUAGGAGGGAGCUGGAUUUUGCCGCUGUUUUUAUAAGGAUGGUGGAGUGGGGAACUAUUCUGCCUCUGAAUUGCCUCCUUUGUUUCUGCCUGAUUGAUUUCCUGGAAUUCUUACAUAACUGGGUUGCCACUUAGAAAAAAAAGAAUAAGCAGCACCUGUGUAAUUGAAGUCAGCAGUGCCGGUAAAGGAAGAUCUGCAAACAGGAGGCUGCUUUCUUAGAAACCCAUCAGUUUCCAGUUUAUGUGUAGUUAAAGGCAUUAAACUUUACCGUCUGGCAGCCUGAA